This 695-nucleotide ribosomal RNA is filed under the name Brochothrix thermosphacta. Its description in RNAcentral is "bacterial LSU rRNA". It matches the Rfam family "Bacterial large subunit ribosomal RNA", at positions 707 to 1403 of the family's 2925-position model. The record is from RNAcentral. Lineage: Bacteria; Bacillati; Bacillota; Bacilli; Caryophanales; Listeriaceae.
CCGUAGACCCGAAACCGGGUGACCUAUCCAUGGCCAGGUUGAAGCGAGGGUAAAACCUCGUGGAGGACCGAACCACGUUGCUGUUGAAAAAGCAUGGGAUGAGCUGUGGAUAGCGGAGAAAUUCCAAUCGAACCCGGAGAUAGCUGGUUCUCUCCGAAAUAGCUUUAGGGCUAGCGUCGAGUAUGAGUAGUGGAGGUAGAGCACUGAAUGGGCUAGGGGGCAUAGCGCUUACCGAACCUUAUCAAACUCCGAAUGCCACAUACUUUGAGCUCGGCAGUCAGACUACGAAUGAUAAGAUCCGUGGUCAAAAGGGAAACAGCCCAGAUCGUCAGCUAAGGUCCCAAAGUGUAAGUUAAGUGGGAAAGGAUGUGAGAUUUCUAAGACAACUAGGAUGUUGGCUUAGAAGCAGCCAUUCAUUAAAAGAGUGCGUAAUAGCUCACUAGUCGAGAGAUCUUGCGCCGAAAAUGUAACGGGGCUAAACUUACCACCGAAGCUACGGGCUUGAACUUAUGUUCAAGCGGUAGGAGAGCGUCGUAACCGGGCUGAAGUCGUACCGUAAGGAGCGGUGGACUGGUUACGAGUGAGAAUGUUGGCAUCAGUAGCGAGAUGUGGGUGAGAAUCCCACAGGCCGAAAACCUAAGGUUUCCUCAGGAAGGUUCGUCCGCUGAGGGUUAGUCGGGACCUAAGCCGAGGCC